AAAGUUUAUUGAAAGUUUUCGUUCCUUUCACAGUCGACCCUUUCAUCUUGGAAGAGGAAGUCUAGGGUUAGGGUUGAGAGAGAGCGAGAAAGAAAAAAAAAGGAGAACUCGAUGGAUGCCACAGGCUGGACGUGAUCGGUGAUCAGAAGAGUUGGAACCGGCGAAGUGCGAAGCAUCAGUUGUUGAAUGAAGGGGAUGGGGCAUUCUAUGGACCAAAGAUAGACAUCAGUGUAUCUGAUGCAUUAAGUAAGAAAUUUCAGUGUGCAACUUUGCAGGUUUGCCACGCUCAGAUAGAUUUGUGUUCACAUGAUUUAGUUUUGGAUAACUUGUCAUGUAAUAGCUAGGUGAAUGUGGUUACUAGCAGCUUAACUUCCAGCUUCCUGAUCGUUUGAAGUUGGAAUUCUCUGCUGAGGAUGAAGCCAAAAUUGAGAGACCUGUAAUGAUACAUAGAGUAAUUCUAGGAUCUGUUGAACACAUGUUUGUCAUACUUUUAGAGCACUACAAGGGUAAAUGGCCUUUCUGGCUCAGUCCUCUUCAAGCAAUUGUAUGUCCUGUGUCUGGAAAAUCAUUAUCUUAUGCACUACAGUUAAGCAACUCUGAAUUUUAUGCUUUAUUCUUUGAUAUAUUUGCUUAUACCUAUCAAAUGAUACAAAUGUUGUACUGACAUAUCUUGUGGCAGCACCUGUAUUUUUUUCAUGCCUAUAAAUUAACUGUCUAGUACUCUCAUAAUUGGCUUUUCCUUGUUUAUUUCUGAGCUUUUCUGUAUCAUGUUGAAACCGUUGAAGCAGUUUGAUUUUGUUACUAAAUUUUGUUCAGUCCAUCUCAUACAUUUUUAAAUAAACUUCCAGCUGUAAUCUGAUCACAAAAUUCGAGCAAUCUCCUUGAAUAGUUGAAUAUCUUAGAGUGUGUUUGGUUUUUCAGAAUUCUUUCUAUUUUUACAAAACGAUCAUUAAAAUUCCACCUUGUACAAUAUUUUGGAAAUAGGAAACAGGGAAAUAUAUCAUAUUUGUAAUCAUUAGCAAAGGCAUGAAUCAUUUCUUAAAUCAAACAGGCUAUUGACUUUUUAUUAUCUGUUUGUAAUUUGUUAGGAUACUUGUACUGCUAUAUAUAUCUUUCUACUUUUACAAAAGGCUCAUUAAAAUUCCACCUUGUACAAUAUUUUGGAAAUAGGAAAUAGGGAAAAAUAUCAUAUUUGUAAUUACUAGAUUUUGUACCUUGUACGAUACCAAAGUGUAUGUAUUAUUCUAUUGUAAUAUUUUAAAAGCUGUUACUUGUAAUGAAUUUUAUUCAAGUUGUUAUAUAUUUGGAACCUUAAGUAGAGUAUUCUAAUUCAUUUAAAUGCAACUAAACUAGUUUAGUCUCCGAAAUGACUUGGUAUCAGUUUUAUAACUUAUUAUAUCAAACAACUUUAAUAGUCGUUUUGUGUCUUCUAAUAUUUGGGGAUUUUAUUUUUUAUGAAAAAUUUUGUAUACUAAAUGUUUAGUAAAUCUGUAAUUGAAAGUUGUUUCUUGAUUGAAGAGAAAUGUCUUUAAAUUGAAGUUGUGACAUUUUGCAGGUACGAGAAGCACAAUUAGCUCAGUACAAGUACAUGUUGGUUGUCGGAGAGGAGGAAGCAAAUACUGGACAGGUUGUAUGGCCAUCUGAAGUUGUCGUGGUAGAUUUACUCUGCUUUCAUAAAGUAGGAACAACUAAACAAGAUCGGUGGUGAGUGAGAGGCAUUGAGAGAAGAAGAAAAUGAAGUUUUGGUUGCUAUCAUUGUUGACCAAGAGGCGACCAUUGCUAAGCUUGAGAAAAUGGUUGAGAAGCUACAAAUGUUUGUUGCUAAGAAGAGGCAAGGGGUUGCUCAUGUUGGGAACUCACAUUCAAAUAAAGAUUAUGACAUGGUAGUUGAUGAUUUUGGGACCAAUAAUUCACAGGAAGAUUAUGAGCUAGUAGUUUCAUCUGUUCUGGUUUCAAAUUCUAAGAAAGAAAUAGAGAUGGAAGGUGAUGAUGUUGAGAAGUCCAAUUCUAAGAAGAAUUUUGAAAGUACAUUGUAAAUUGUAAAUUUGAAUGAUGUUAACUGUUGUAUUUUUUUAUGAAGGUUGAAUAUAUGAUUCAUUUGUAAUUGUUAUUCAGUUGUUCAUUUUUCAGGUUCAAUGAAUUUGAUUUGGGAAUACAUUAUUUUUUAUCUUCUUUUUGCUCAUAAUGCCAAUUCAAUUAACCAUGUGCUUCGUUACAGAUAAACAAUAACUAAAAAAGUUUUUAAGUCAAUGCAGUUAAACAUUUGAUUUUUUCCUGCAGUAAGUGGUUUUUUCAUUCAACAUUGAUAAUGCUAUAAUUUACCAUAUUUUAAGCAUCAUUUUAGUAGCAAAAUGAACCCCUAUCUAACUUAUAACUUGUUAAAUCCUCUUCUUUUGUCUUGUUUUUUAUUUAAUUGUGUUUUUGGCUACUUUGAUGAACUUUGAUCAAUAAUCCCUUGUUUUGUAGCUAAAAAUGAGCUUGGAAGACUCUCCAACAAAUUAUAGAGAAGAACCAACCAAGGCAUGCAGAAACGCUCGCACAAGCAGGACGUUCGUCCAAGAUUCAGGACGCUCGUCGCCAGAAAAGGACGCUCGUCCAAAGUGGAAGCACGAGCGGACGCUCGUCCAGAAGGAAGAAAUGGGCGCUCGUUCAAGCCAAGCAGAUGAGGACGUUCGUCCAGGAAGCACAAGCGGACGCUCGUCCUGGAAGCAGAAGAGGACGUUCGUCCAGGACGCUUAGAGAGGACGCUCGUCCAGGACGUUUAGAGGGGACGCUCGUCCAGAAAAGAGAAAAGAGGACGCUCGUCCAGGAGCUCAUAGAGGACGUUCGUCCAGAGAGUUAAGAGGACGCUCGUCCAACGAAGACGUCCAGCGAGACACGCAGUGGACGCUCGUCCAGAAGGCAGAAGAGCGGACGCUCGUUCAGCCAGGCAGAAGUGGACGCUCGUCCAGCCAGGCAGAAGAGGACGGUCGUCCUAAGAUGCGCAGUGGACGUUCGUCCAGCGAAGAGAGCAGUGGACGUUCAUCCAGCGAGAGAAGAGGCGCUCGGUGAACGCUCGGCAGCGAGAAGUGACGCUCGUCAAGGACGGUCGUCUACUUUCAGGACGCUCGUCCACUUUCAGCUUCCAGAGAGUUUCACGCCCGGGCGUGAGAAAUGGGGCGCCCGGGCGUGACUUUCCAGUGGUUAUUUAUGAAAGAGGUUUUGUACACAAAUAGAAGUGGUUUAAUUCAAUAUAAAUCAUGACAUUUCUU
Molecule: long non-coding RNA, 3251 nt
Organism: Vigna angularis (adzuki bean)
Lineage: Eukaryota; Viridiplantae; Streptophyta; Magnoliopsida; Fabales; Fabaceae
Exons: 4
Source: RefSeq, a predicted model, not a curated record